GUGGGGAAUUUUGGACAAUGGGCGCAAGCCUGAUCCAGCAAUGUCGCGUGCAGGAAGAAGGCCUUCGGGUUGUAAACUGCUUUUGUACGGAACGAAACGGUCCUGGUUAAUACCUGGGGCUAAUGACGGUACCGUAAGAAUAAGCACCGGCUAACUACGUGCCAGCAGCCGCGGUAAUACGUAGGGUGCAAGCGUUAAUCGGAAUUACUGGGCGUAAAGCGUGCGCAGGCGGUUUUGUAAGACAGGCGUGAAAUCCCCGGGCUCAACCUGGGAAUUGCGCUUGUGACUGCAAGGCUGGAGUGCGGCAGAGGGGGAUGGAAUUCCGCGUGUAGCAGUGAAAUGCGUAGAUAUGCGGAGGAACACCGAUGGCGAAGGCAAUCCCCUGGGCCUGCACUGACGCUCAUGCACGAAAGCGUGGGGAGCAAACAGGAUUAGAUACCCGAGUAGUCC
RNAcentral lists this ribosomal RNA (450 nucleotides) under uncultured bacterium. RNAcentral's name for it is "partial 16S ribosomal RNA". It matches the Rfam family "Bacterial small subunit ribosomal RNA", at positions 354 to 796 of the family's 1533-position model. The record is from RNAcentral.